AUGAAAUGCAUGAAUUGUUGCGAUUUGGAAUGCAUUGAGAUAAAGAUUUCCAGCUUGUUCUGUACACUCUACUUGGUUGAAAUGCAUGAGUUGCUUGAGAUUUUAACAGGUCAGGUUGUGGUAGGUGCAAGGUACAUGCUGCCAAUUUUUUUUUUAGGUUGAGAGCAUCUCACAAGUCACGGAGGACGCACUUCCUACUCCUCCUCUUGGGACGUCCGGCGUAG
This 224-nucleotide long non-coding RNA is filed under the name Prunus dulcis (almond). RNAcentral describes it as "sRNA ncRNA". Lineage: Eukaryota; Viridiplantae; Streptophyta; Magnoliopsida; Rosales; Rosaceae. The record is from RNAcentral.